GACGAACGCUGGCGGCGUGCUUAACACAUGCAAGUCGAACGGAAAGGCCCUGCUUGUGUGGGGUGCUCGAGUGGCGAACGGGUGAGUAACACGUGAGUAACCUGCCCUUGACUUUGGGAUAACUUCAGGAAACUGGGGCUAAUACCGGAUAGGAGCUCCUGCUGCAUGGUGGGGGUUGGAAAGUUUCGGCGGUUGGGGAUGGACUCGCGGCUUAUCAGCUUGUUGGUGGGGUAGUGGCUUACCAAGGCUUUGACGGGUAGCCGGCCUGAGAGGGUGACCGGCCACAUUGGGACUGAGGUACGGCCCAGACUCCUACGGGAGGCAGCAGUCGGGAAUAUUGCACAAUGGGCGGAAGCCUGAUGCAGCAACGCCGCGUGCGGGAUGACGGCCUUCGGGUUGUAAACCGCUUUCGCCUGUGACGAAGCGUGAGUGACGGUAAUGGGUAAAGAAGCACCGGCUAACUACGUG
Molecule: ribosomal RNA, 468 nt
Filed under: uncultured bacterium
Lineage: Bacteria
Description: partial 16S ribosomal RNA
Rfam family: Bacterial small subunit ribosomal RNA
Source: RNAcentral